RNAcentral lists this ribosomal RNA (1245 nucleotides) under Tethya wilhelma. RNAcentral's name for it is "12S ribosomal RNA". It matches the Rfam family "Bacterial small subunit ribosomal RNA". Lineage: Eukaryota; Metazoa; Porifera; Demospongiae; Tethyida; Tethyidae. The record is from RNAcentral.
GUGAUGGUUCCUUUGAUUUUGGGGAAGAUAGAAAGCGAGUAACACUUAUAAUACAUGCUAGGGGCGUGAUGUAACCCAUGAAAGUUGGGAAAUGUUUAUGUUUCGUACAGGUGAGUAAAGUUUCGGAUUUAACCAGUUGGAUAUAGGUAUUGAAGACUGAUAAGCCGGGGUCGUAUUAGGCGGAAUUAGCCCAUGAUGCGUAGCUAAGAAGCCACAUUUCCACUGAAACAAGGGGGAAACUCAAAAAGAGGCAGCAGUAGAGAAUAUUGUACAAUGUAUGAAAGUAUGAUACAGAGAUGUUACAUUGAUUUAAGAAGACUAUCUAAUAUAUGUGCCAGCAGAUGCGGUUAUACAUAAGGUCUAAGUUUUUGUAGGAAAAGGCGUAAAGUGUGUGUAGAUGAGGGAGUUUUAAAUGGGUAAAUAGAAUUAAAUUAAGUAGUGGUGAAAUAUAUUAAUAUUAAUAAGAAUAUUAAAGGCGAAGGCAAUGUGCUAGUUAAAACUGACAUUAAAACACGAAAGUAGGGGGAGCAAACAGGAUUAGAGACCCUGGUAGUCCCUACUGUAAACUAUGACAAAGAGAUUAUUAAUGGGGCAAUAAUCAAAAAUAACUUAAGAGAGGUCCGCCUGAUGUCUACGAUCGCAAGAUUAACAUUCAAAAAAUUUGGCGGUUCACUAAUCCAAUUAGAGGAGCGUGUAGUUUAAUUCGAUGGUCCGCGAAUAACCUUACCAAGGUUUGAAUAAGGAGUAAUUAAGUAAUUUAUUACUUUAGAUACAGGUAUUACAUGGCCGUCGUCAGUUUGUGUUUUGAAAGAAAUAGAACAAACUUAACCCUUAAUUAAAAUUGUUUGUGAUAAAAGAUUUAAUUAAAGGAUGACGUCAGGUCCUUAUGAUCCAAAUAUCUUGGGCGAUAUAUGCGCUACAAUUUUAUAUACAAAGGGUUUAAAGUAAGCUUGAAAGUAGGAGUUCGAAGAAAUUUUUUAAAAAGAAAUUUGAAGUUGGAUUUAAUAGUAAUCGAGGAGUAGAGUGUCUCGGUGAAUGUGGCUCUAGUGUUCGUACAAAUCGCCCGUCACCUCCACCAAAUAAACGAUUUAAAAGUAUUAUAUUAAAUAAAAAAAAUAAAAAAUAAAUAUUGGGUAUUAUUUGAAUAAAAUUUUUAUUUUUAGUUAAUAUAAAAAAAAGGUUAUAAGGUUGAGGAAGUCGUAACACAGUGAGGGUAUUGGAAGAUGUUCUCGGAUUAAUCCGUGU